GACGAACGCUGGCGGCGUGCCUAAUACAUGCAAGUUGAGCGCUGAAGGUUGGUACUUGUACCAACUGGAUGAGCAGCGAACGGGUGAGUAACGCGUGGGGAAUCUGCCUUUGAGCGGGGGACAACAUUUGGAAACGAAUGCUAAUACCGCAUAAAAACUUUAAACACAAGUUUUAAGUUUGAAAGAUGCAAUUGCAUCACUCAAAGAUGAUCCCGCGUUGUAUUAGCUAGUUGGUGAGGUAAAGGCUCACCAAGGCGAUGAUACAUAGCCGACCUGAGAGGGUGAUCGGCGACAUUGGGACUGAGACACGGCCCAAACUCCUACGGGAGGCAGCAGUAGGGAAUCUUCGGCAAUGGACGAAAGUCUGACCGAGCAACGCCGCGUGAGUGAAGAAGGUUUUCGGAUCGUAAAACUCUGUUGGUAGAGAAGAACGUUGGUGAGAGUGGAAAGCUCAUCAAGUGACGGUAACUACCCAGAAAGGGACGGCUAACUACGUG
RNAcentral lists this ribosomal RNA (497 nucleotides) under uncultured bacterium. Its description in RNAcentral is "partial 16S ribosomal RNA". It matches the Rfam family "Bacterial small subunit ribosomal RNA", at positions 28 to 507 of the family's 1533-position model. The record is from RNAcentral.